GGCCGUAUCGGGGAUGCUGGAACCUGCGGUUGAGUGAGAAACCGGCGCCACCGCCUGCGUCUUGGUCUCGGGCUGGUGGCCAGCGGGGUCUGGGCGUGGUUUUACCCAGCUCCUUUGCGAAGCUGCUGUCCUUUCCUCAACGUUACCACCCGGCUGGGCAGCCUACCCUCGCAGCAACAGGUGUGCACCUUCCAAGCUUGCAACAGACCACAUUCAGAAGCUUGAUUUCUUGUUGUUCUGGGAAUAUCUGGAUCAGAGCCCCUGUUCUCCCUGCCCACCUCCUACCCCACUGGAGUGGCCUUUCAUCAAACCUAAACCAAAGAAACCAACAGACCUUGCUGUCACCACUACUCCGGGACCUGGAAGUUAAAGCGAGGGAGAGACGGUGAAACACAGAAAGCAGAACGCCUUCUGUUCUUCCACAACACAGGGUUUGUGGACGUGGCCACUAUAAGAACUCGCACUGCGUGCUGAUUAUACUCCUCAGCACAAUUCAUUUCUUAAACUUUUUAGAAUAAUUUAAAAUUUACAAAAAGUUGCAAAAAUAAAAACCAGUAAACUUUUCACCUUCAUCUGCCUUAUAAUUAAGGCAGCGGGCAGCGCGCUGGACAGAACGGGAGGGGCUUGCGCUUUCCGCCGGUGGGAAACCCCACCCGCAGGGACGAGCCGGGACCAUCUGGCCCUACCUGCCGAACGGCCGCUUGGUGGAGAUGUGUCCCAGAACCGAAGGAGGAGGGUGCCACGCACAUUUGUCUUGCCUUCCCCGGUGGCGGGGGCAUGGCAAGGGCGGAGCUUCCCGCUGUGCCCUUGGAGGCCGCCUGCAACCAGGCUAGUGUAGGUGGGGACGCACGCCCUGUACCCUACCCAUCCUGCCCAUUGCGGGUCUGGCCCGGACCUGAAGGGCAGUAGUUGGGGCCGUCCCCGCGUCUUCUGGGCCCUGUAGUGAAUACAGUCUGCCCCAUUCAAAUCCUUUUCCUCACUUAGGAUUACUGCUGUGUGUCAGUGUCACACACCCCAAAUUGAUAAUGGCUUAAGAUGGGAUUUCUCAUUUAAAAAGAAGUCUUUGGUUGAGUGAGCUGGGGCUAUUUUGGUGUUUCCACAUGGGACCUAGGCUCCUUUUAGCUCAGCACUAUCCUACGUCUAGGGUAUGGCUGAGCUGUUCUCUUGGCCAAGACUGAGCCAGAGCCCGUGGUCAGGUCAGCAUAACCUUUCCAGGCAGCAGGAUAGAGUGGGAAAGAAAGAAGGGUCUGUUGAAGGAAAAUUCCCCCAAGUUCAGUCCUACUUCAUUGGCCAGAACUUAAUCACAUGUCAGACCUAGCUACAAAUUGAAUGAGAAAGUCAAGUAUUUAAGGUGGGUCCCUUAUCUCUCAAAACACUGGGCUUCAGAUAAUAGAGAAGGGAAGGGGUGUCAAGAGGAAACGGCUACCUGUGUCACUGUGCUUAUCAGGAUUCUUACCCUUCUCAAAAUUUCCCAUUGCAGUAUCUUGACUACCCUAUCCCAAACCUAGCACACUUUUACCAAAGACAACUUAACUGGGGAAGCUGCAGCAUGGCAGGCACAUCAUCUAUUGGUCCAACUUCUAUAGGGUUUUCUAUUCUUUACAUUGAAGAAAUGCAAUUGGGUUUGGCCUUUAGGAUCAGUAACAGCAGCUUCUGGUUCUGAUGUCCUCCAUCCUAGUUUCAGUGCUUCUUCCUCUCAGAAUCAGUGCUGAUUCACUUUCUCUUUAUCAAUGAGUUUAAUAUAGUGGCUUCAUUUAUAAGCAAUUAGCUAACUCUAGUAUUUCAUCUGUUCUCAUCAUUUAAUUCUCAGCUAAGGUGCUAAGGUAGGGCCCAGCCAUCUGUUAGGUGAUUCUGCUAUAUCCUAAGGUGAUGUAUCCUAAAAGACACCUAGGGUGCUUUUAGAAACUGCCCAUGCCCAGCCGUAUCCUCAAAGAUUCAGGCAAACAAUUAGCCGGGUGUGGUGGCAUGUGCCUGCAAUCCCAGCUACUCAGGAGGCUUAGGCACGAGAAUUGUUAGAACCCGGGAGAUGGAGGUUGCAGUGAGCCAAGAUUAUGCCACUGCACUCCAGCCUGGAACAAAACCAACCCCCCUACCCACCACCACACACACACACACACACACACACACACACACACACACACACACACACUCAAGCAUGGUUGGGUCUGGAGUAUGGCCUUGGCAUAGGUAAUUUUCAGUGUCCCAAGGGAUUCUAGUGUGCAUGGGGCUGUGAAUCACAGCUCCAGGUGGGCCAACUAUGUGCACACUGGUGCCUGGGGUAGGUACUAAGCCCUGAUCCUCACCCCUGUGCGGGUGCUUCCUAUUAUGCUUUCUGCCUUUAGCCCUCCUCCUCC
RNAcentral lists this long non-coding RNA (2354 nucleotides) under Homo sapiens (human). RNAcentral's name for it is "non-protein coding LINC01431:13". Lineage: Eukaryota; Metazoa; Chordata; Mammalia; Primates; Hominidae. The record is from RNAcentral.